GGCGUGCUUAACACAUGCAAGUCGAGCGAACCUUUUGGGAAUGAUUCUUCGGAUGAAAUCUUUUGUGACUGAGCGGCGGACGGGUGAGUAACGCGUGGGUAACCUGCCUCAUACAGGGGGAUAACAGUUAGAAAUGACUGCUAAUACCGCAUAAGCGCACAGUGCCGCAUGGCACCGUGUGAAAAACUCCGGUGGUAUGAGAUGGACCCGCGUUGGAUUAGGCAGUUGGGCGGGGUAACGGCCCACCAAACCGACGAUCCAUAGCCGGCCUGAGAGGGUGGACGGCCACAUUGGGACUGAGACACGGCCCAAACUCCUACGGGAGGCAGCAGUGGGGAAUAUUGCACAAUGGGGGAAACCCUGAUGCAGCGACGCCGCGUGAGUGAAGAAGUAAUUCGUUAUGUAAAGCUCUAUCAGCAGGGAAGAAAAUGACGGUACCUGACUAAGAAGCCCCGGCUAACUACGUGCCAGCAGCCGCGGUAAUACGUAGGGGGCAAGCGUUAUCCGGAUUUACUGGGUGUAAAGGGAGCGUAGACGGUCGUGCAAGUCUGAUGUGAAAGGCUGGGGCUCAACCCCGGGACUGCAUUGGAAACUGUAUGGCUGGAGUGCCGGAGAGGUAAGCGGAAUUCCUAGUGUAGCGGUGAAAUGCGUAGAUAUUAGGAGGAACACCAGUGGCGAAGGCGGCUUACUGGACGGUAACUGACGUUGAGGCUCGAAAGCGUGGGGAGCAAACAGGAUUAGAUACCCUGGUAGUCCACGCCGUAAACGAUGAUUACUAGGUGUUGGGGGACAUGGUCCUUCCGUGCCGCCGCAAACGCAGU
RNAcentral lists this ribosomal RNA (821 nucleotides) under uncultured bacterium. RNAcentral's name for it is "bacterial SSU rRNA". It matches the Rfam family "Bacterial small subunit ribosomal RNA", at positions 41 to 861 of the family's 1533-position model. The record is from RNAcentral.